GCCUAAUACAUGCAAGUCGAACGGUAACAGGUGUAGCAAUACAUGCUGACGAGUGGCGCACGGGUGCGUAACACGUAUGCAACCUACCUAUAACUGGGGAAUAGCCUUCCGAAAGGAAGAUUAACACCGCAUAACAUCAUUCUACGGCAUCGCAGGAUGAUCAAACCUCCGGGGGUUAUAGAUGGGCAUGCGUAACAUUAGCUAGUUGGUGAGGUAACGGCUCACCAAGGCUACGAUGUUUAGGGGGUCUGAGAGGAUGAUCCCCCACACUGGUACUGAGACACGGACCAGACUCCUACGGGAGGCAGCAGUAAGGAAUAUUGGACAAUGGGGGCAACCCUGAUCCAGCCAUGCCGCGUGAAGGAUGAAGGCCCUCUGGGUUGUAAACUUCUUUUGUACGGGAAUAAACCCCUCUACGUGUAGAGGGUUGAAUGUACCGUAAGAAUAAGGAUCGGCUAACUUCGUGCCAGCAGCCGCGGUAAUACGAAGGAUCCAAGCGUUAUCCGGAUUUAUUGGGUUUAAAGGGUGCGUAGGCGGGCUAUUAAGUCAGUGGUGAAAUCCCCAAGCUUAACUUGGGAAUUGCCAUUGAUACUGAUGGUCUUGAGUACACUUGAAGUGGGCGGAAUGUGUCAUGUAGCGGUGAAAUGCUUAGAUAUGACACAGAACACCGAUUGCGAAGGCAGCUCACUAAAUUGUAACUGACGCUGAGGCACGAAAGCGUGGGGAUCAAACAGGAUUAGAUACCCUGGUAGUCCACGCCCUAAACGAUGAUUACUCGAUGUGUGCAAUACACCGUACGCGUCUGAGCGAAAGCAUUAAGUAAUCCACCUGGGGAGUACGACCGCAAGGUUGAAACUCAAAGGAAUUGACGGGGGCCCGCACAAGCGGAGGAGCAUGUGGUUUAAUUCGAUGAUACGCGAGGAACCUUACCAGGGCUUGAAAGUUAAGGAAUGAUGUAGAAAUAUGUCAGUCAGCAAUGACCUAAAACUAGGUGCUGCAUGGCUGUCGUCAGCUCGUGCCGUGAGGUGUUCGGUUAAGUCCGCAAACGAGCGCAACCCUCGGCGUUAGUUACACGUGUCUAACGC
Molecule: ribosomal RNA, 1085 nt
Filed under: uncultured bacterium
Lineage: Bacteria
Description: bacterial SSU rRNA
Rfam family: Bacterial small subunit ribosomal RNA
Source: RNAcentral